AUUGAACGCUGGCGGAAUGCUUUACACAUGCAAGUCGAGCGGCAGCGCGGGGCAACCUGGCGGCGAGCGGCGAACGGGUGAGUAAUGCAUCGGAACAUGUCCAUGUCGUGGGGGAUAGCCCGGCGAAAGCCGGAUUAAUACCGCAUACGCUCGAGAGAGGAAAGCCGGGGACCGCAAGGCCUGGCGCGAUUGGGUUGGCCGAUGUCCGAUUAGCUAGUUGGUGAGGUAAAGGCUUACCAAGGCGAUGAUCGGUAGCUGGUCUGAGAGGAUGAUCAGCCACACUGGGACUGAGACACGGCCCAGACUCCUACGGGAGGCAGCAGUGGGGAAUUUUGGACAAUGGGGGCAACCCUGAUCCAGCCAUUCCGCGUGAGUGAAGAAGGCCUUCGGGUUGU
This 395-nucleotide ribosomal RNA is filed under the name uncultured bacterium. Its description in RNAcentral is "bacterial SSU rRNA". It matches the Rfam family "Bacterial small subunit ribosomal RNA", at positions 28 to 426 of the family's 1533-position model. The record is from RNAcentral.